RNAcentral lists this ribosomal RNA (481 nucleotides) under uncultured Chloroflexota bacterium. Its description in RNAcentral is "bacterial SSU rRNA". It matches the Rfam family "Bacterial small subunit ribosomal RNA", at positions 355 to 849 of the family's 1533-position model. Lineage: Bacteria; Bacillati; Chloroflexota. The record is from RNAcentral.
UAAGGAAUAUUGCUCAAUGGCCGAAAGGCUGAAGCAGCGACGCCGCGUGGGCGAGGAAGGUCUUCGGAUCGUAAAGCCCUUUUCUGCGUGACGAGGAAGGACGGUAGCGCAGGAAGAAGUCUCGGCUAACUACGUGCCAGCAGCCGCGGUAAAACGUAGGAGACGAGCGUUAUCCGGAAUUACUGGGCGUAAGGCGCGUGUCGGCGGGUCGUCAAGUCUGUCGUGAAAGCGCCCGGCUAAACCGGGCGAGGUCGAUGGAGACUGGCGGUCUGGAGUGCGAGAGAGGGCAGGUGGAAUUCCGGGUGUAGUGGUGAAAUGCGUAGAUAUCCGGAGGACACCAGUGGCGAAGGCGACUGCCUGGCUCGCAACUGACGCUCAGACGCGAAAGCAUGGGGAGCGAACGGGAUUAGAAACCCCGGUAGUCCAUGCUGUAAACGAUGCCGACUAGGUGUUCGUGAGGGGAAACCCUUGGGAGUGCCGC